AGAAAAUGUUCCGUGUGCUUCAAUUACUUUCAUAAAUUAUCAAUAAUUGGCUAAUGUGCGGUUAUCAGUGUCAGGGACAAGCGGACACGGCGGACAGCCAGUAUCCCCUUCUGCCAGGUGGGUCAGCGAAUGAUUUGAAAUUCAUAAGCUCAUUAAAUUUUCAGCAGACAGACAGCACAGUGAGGAGUCAGCAGUCGGCAGUCAGCAGUUUCCCGUGCUGCUCCCUGGAACGGGACAGUGACAGGGAUUGGGGCAGGGACAGGCACUGGGCAAAUACAAUUAAAAUGCCAUAAAGCAAAUUAGCCAAGACAAACUUUUCAUAUUUUGCCGCGAGCUGUGCAAAUUAGUGGGGGGCCAAGACAAGGGAUAGUGCUCGAACCAAGGACUACCUAGAAGAUGAUGACGAUGGGCAUGGGUAGGUAGGGUUGUAUGGGUGGAAGUCGAAUGGCAUGGGGGCUGUGCGCACACUAAAACACAUCCUGCGCCUUUGGUAAUUGCCGGGCGGCGCACUCGUGCUGGCAACUUCAGCAAAUUGUUGGCAAUUAUGAUUAUGUGGCACAAAGUAAAGUAAAACACACAGC
Molecule: long non-coding RNA, 581 nt
Filed under: Drosophila guanche
Lineage: Eukaryota; Metazoa; Arthropoda; Insecta; Diptera; Drosophilidae
Source: RNAcentral